GUUUAAUUCUAGCCAAAAGCAAAGGAACAUGAUGUGUUGGUCAGCCUGUGCAGCAUCACUGCAGGCUGCUGGGUGACAGUUCACAAACUUUUGCGAUAUGCUAAAAACAGGCCAUGAAACCCGGUGGACUCACCCUGUUACCAGUAGAAGGUGUCGGAGCUACUGGCAGUGAAUCCACACACAUCUGUACCAACCUCAGUUCUUGCCUCCUCAGAAGAAAGAAUUUGACUGAGGGGCUCAAGGCAGAAAAAAAGAGACCGAGGGAAGUUCCAGAGCAGGAAAGGUGGGCUGCCCACCUGUACAGCGCUGUCCUUACGCCUGGGAACUGAGCAUGCGCAGUGAGCUUAGGACGUCGUACGCGGCCAGCUCCCUUUUCCCGUGGAGGCCCCGGAAGGUCGUGCUCCACCAUUUUGUCUCUUAACGUGCAUGCGUGAGCUCAACUGUGGAUCUUCAGGAGAUUGUCUCUCCCUGGGGCCGGCUGCUGAAUUACCACUUUUAGAAGGGCUGUGUGACCACCUGACAUUUCUCCUGGGUAUGGGAGAGCCGUCUCCUGUCCUGCUCAUGCCUGUCUAACUGCCUGCAACAGACCCCAGUGACACCCGAGAGUCAGGAUGUGUGCUUUGGAACAAUACCAUCUGCCAGUUCCAUCAGAGUAAAGAUAACUGCACAAUGUAACCGCCCAGUGGGCUCUUCUUGCCUGUUGCCCAGAGAGAGCUGAUUUAUUAAGGCAGAGGAAUUGCAAUGGAGAGUUUAAUUCGCACAGAGCCAGCUGAAGGGGAGACUGGACUCAUUAUUACUCAAAUCAGUCUCCCCAAGAAUUGAGGGGCUAGGGUUUUUCAGAGGUAGUUUGUGGAAAGGGGGGGUUGUCUAGGCAAUGGGUGCUUGCUGCCCAUUGGUUGGGGGUACAAUCAGAGGGUUAUGGGAAAUGGUCCUCAUGUGAGCUGAGUCUUUUCUGGGUAAGGCCACAGGAACAUGUGGGAGAUCCAGGUGGAGCCCUCAUCAGUGUGAGACAUGCAGAAAACCUGAAAAGACAUCUCAGAAGGCCAGUCUUACAUUCACAGUAGUGAUAUUAUCUGCAGGAAUAAUCAGGGAAGUUGCAUAUUUUGUAACCUCUGGAAUAAUGGCUGGCAACUGUUUAUGUCUACACCUUAGCCAAAUUCAGGUUCCUCUAUCCUCCUAGCCUGGUGGUCUAUCCUUAGCUUUACAAAGGUGGUUGAAUUUGGGGGAAAGGCUAUUAUCAUUUAAACUAUAAACUAAAUAUCUCCCAAUCCAAGCCCAGGAAUAAUUAAGGGCAGUUGAAGGCUAA
Molecule: long non-coding RNA, 1306 nt
Organism: Callithrix jacchus (white-tufted-ear marmoset)
Lineage: Eukaryota; Metazoa; Chordata; Mammalia; Primates; Cebidae
Source: RefSeq, a predicted model, not a curated record